This is an RNA transcript of Macaca mulatta (Rhesus monkey), 835 nucleotides long. It is a transcript of the gene named large ribosomal subunit protein eL21 pseudogene, with no coding region annotated. NCBI's taxonomy places the organism in Eukaryota, Metazoa, Chordata, Mammalia, Primates, Cercopithecidae. The record is from RefSeq and is a predicted model, not a curated record.
CCUCGUCCUUUCGGCCGGAACCGCCAUCUUCCAGUAAUUUGCCAAAAUGACGAACACAAAGGGAAAGAGGAGAGGCACCCGAUAUAUGUUCUCUAGGCCUUUUAGAAAACAUGGAGUUGUUCCUUUGGCCACGUAUAUGCGAAUCUAUAAGAAAGGUGAUAUCGUAGACAUCAAGGGAAUGGGUACCGUUCAAAAAGGAAUGCCCCACAAGUGUUACCAUGGCAAAACUGGGAGAAUCUACAACGUUACCCAGCAUGCUGUUGGCAUUGUUGUAAACAAACAAGUUAAGGGCAAGAUUCUUGCCAAGAGAAUUAAUGUACGUAUUGAGCACAUUAAGCAUUCUAAGAGCAGAGAUAGCUUCCUGAAACGCGUGAAGGAAAAUGAUCAGAAAAAGAAAGAAGCCAAAGAGAAAGGUACCUGGGUUCAACUGAAGCGCCAGCCUGCUCCACCCAGAGAAGCACACUUUGUGAGAACCAAUGGGAAGGAGCCUGAGCUGCUGGAACCUAUUCCCUAUGAAUUCAUGGCAUAAUAGGUGUUAAAAAAAAUAAUAAAAGACCUCUGGGCUGAAAAAUGUUUCUCUUCAUUGAGUAGAAGUGUGGUGUCCUCUCCCCCAAAGAAAUACUUAAAGCAAAUUUUAGUUGUGUCCUAAUUCAUUAUGUAAUGUCUUUCCUAUUCAAAUUUAAUGUAUUCCUUGCUGAAGGAUGUAAGGUAGCUUAUUGUGCAACAGAUUACUCAGUUGGUUAGAAAAUGGCCAGGUAUUAUGUAUGAAAUAUUUGUACUGGUUUGAAGAUAGUCUUAAAUCAUCAAGGAAGAAAUAAAGUAAUUUUUUUUUUCA